GCAGGUUACAGCUUGGCUCGGUUAUGUGGGCAUGUCUUUCUAAUGUGCUCUCAUUGUCCGCAGGGAGGUUAUUUUGCAUAUUCUUGUUUCUUAUAUAACAACUGUAUGCAAUUUCACUUCAAAUACUUUUCUGUUAUUUUUAGGUGAGAUGAGUUUUCCUGAUAAGAAAGGCUCAGGAAAGUCUAAGCUCAGAACUCUCCCUUGUUUCUGUGUGGUGUUAAAAAACGUGGGAGAUGGCUUUCAGGAGUUCCUGUCUUUGUUCCUCUUCCCCACAUUGGUCUACAUCUCAUCCUUCCUUUCCUGUGUCCCUAUCCAGCUCAACUGUGAUUUCAUUUCCUGCAGUUCUUCCUCCUGAGGGGCCCUGUCCCAGAGGCUUGCUCUGGAGGAUCACAGAGCUCAGAUUUCUUCCCGCCCCUUCAGCCUUUCUUAUUGUGGGCCGCUUCCACUCACUCGGUGUUACAGAGUGCAAACCCCUCCUGGUCAUUUCUCCAAAGGCCCCCAGAAGAUGCUCACCAUCAUCUUUGAUUAGCAAAAUGCAAAUAAAAAUCACAAUAAGGGCCGGGUGUGGUGGCUUACACCUGUAAUCCCAGCACUUUGGGAGGCUGAGGUGGGCGGAUCACUUGAGGCCAGGAGUUUGAGACCAACCUGGGCAAAAUGGUGAAACCCUGUCUCUACUACAAAUAC
This 684-nucleotide long non-coding RNA is filed under the name Homo sapiens (human). Its description in RNAcentral is "HSALNT0050873". The record is from RNAcentral. Lineage: Eukaryota; Metazoa; Chordata; Mammalia; Primates; Hominidae.